UCCUGGUUAGCUUAGUUGGUAGAGCACUUCACUGAAAAUGGAGAGGUCCCUGUUUGAUACGACGACCAGGCG
Molecule: transfer RNA, 72 nt
Filed under: Ixodes scapularis (black-legged tick)
Lineage: Eukaryota; Metazoa; Arthropoda; Arachnida; Ixodida; Ixodidae
Rfam family: tRNA
About the family: Transfer RNA (tRNA) molecules are approximately 80 nucleotides in length. Their secondary structure includes four short double-helical elements and three loops (D, anti-codon, and T loops).
Source: Rfam by way of RNAcentral